RNAcentral lists this ribosomal RNA (301 nucleotides) under uncultured bacterium. RNAcentral's name for it is "partial 16S ribosomal RNA". It matches the Rfam family "Bacterial small subunit ribosomal RNA", at positions 509 to 807 of the family's 1533-position model. The record is from RNAcentral.
CAGCCGCCACGGUAAUACAGAGGGUGCAAGCGUUAAUCGGAUUUACUGGGCGUAAAGCGUGCGUAGGCGGUUCGUUAAGUCUGUUGUGAAAGCCCCGGGCUCAACCUGGGAAUGGCAAUGGAUACUGGCGAGCUAGAGUGUGUCAGAGGAUGGUGGAAUUCCCGGUGUAGCGGUGAAAUGCGUAGAGAUCGGGAGGAACAUCAGUGGCGAAGGCGGCCAUCUGGGACAACACUGACGCUGAGGCACGAAAGCGUGGGGAGCAAACAGGAUUAGAUACCCGUGUAGUCCCUGUCUCUUAUAC